RNAcentral lists this long non-coding RNA (365 nucleotides) under Homo sapiens (human). Its description in RNAcentral is "HSALNT0320989". The record is from RNAcentral. Lineage: Eukaryota; Metazoa; Chordata; Mammalia; Primates; Hominidae.
UGCUCCAUCAAAAAGGAUGAAAUAAAUGUGGUUUAUAAUGAACAUUUUCUCUCAACAGAGUUAACACUCUUCUUGCAAAGCCACAAAAAAAUGAAUUCUAUCACAUGCCACAAGGAAACUAUGAUUUUAAAAAAGGACACACAUGGAUCUAGAAUUGAUCUACUUUAAGCUAAAGAAUAUGAAUCAAUCCAUCAGCUCACUUAAACACACUUAGAAAAGGCAAAAGAUCAUUAUGAAUGUGGCUGGAACCAAUACCAAGGCCUCGAACUCAUGGUUCAAUGUUCCUUUCACCACUUGCUGAUGCCUCCCAAGCAGUACUUGAAAAUAAACAAAUUUUGGGUCUUCCUCUGUCACCCAGGCUGAAU